UACGAAGGGGGCUAGCGUUGCUCGGAAUUACUGGGCGUAAAGGGCGCGUAGGCGGUCCUGAUCGUCGGAUGUGAAAGGCCUGGGCUCAACCUGGGAAUGGCAUCCGAUACGGCGGGACUGGAGUGUGGGAGAGGUUGGUGGAAUUCCCAGUGUAGAGGUGAAAUUCGUAGAUAUUGGGAAGAACACCGGUGGCGAAGGCGGCCAACUGGACCACAACUGACGCUGAGGCGCGAAAGCGUGGGGAGCAAACAGG
This 253-nucleotide ribosomal RNA is filed under the name uncultured bacterium. RNAcentral describes it as "partial 16S ribosomal RNA". It matches the Rfam family "Bacterial small subunit ribosomal RNA", at positions 524 to 776 of the family's 1533-position model. The record is from RNAcentral.